RNAcentral lists this long non-coding RNA (738 nucleotides) under Rattus norvegicus (Norway rat). RNAcentral's name for it is "long non-coding RNA NONRATT020308". The record is from RNAcentral. Lineage: Eukaryota; Metazoa; Chordata; Mammalia; Rodentia; Muridae.
UGUCCUAAGAUCUGGAGACAUUGAUGCCAGCCCUCCCACUACUUCUAACCUUUGUUUAUAUGGUGGAUUACAUUGAUGGAUUUUCGUAUAUUGAACCAUCCCUGCAUCCCUGAGACAAAGCCUAUUUGAUUGUGAUGGAUGAUGUUUUUGAUGUGUUCCUGGAUUCUGUUUGUUCGGCAUCAUGGUGCCCCAAGAUAUCUGCUAGACAUCUUGGCGGAAACACAUACCAACUCCUCGGCGGCCCAGUGUCUCCAGCCGCCGCACACUUUCCUACACUCAAACCGUCACAUAAAAGAACACACAACACAAUAAUCUUAGAUCCAACUGGCAAAUGGAUGGAGCUAGAAAAGAUCAUCCUGAGUGAGACAGAAGCCUAGCAUAACUGUCAUCAGAGAGGAUUCACCCAGCAACUGAUGGAAACCAAUGCAGAGACCCACAGCCAAACAUUAGGCAGAGCUUGGGGAAGAGGGUGGUGGGGAGGACUCCAGGAGCCAGAGGGCCAAAAACACCACAAGGAAACCUACAGGAUCAACUAACCUGGUCCCACAGAGGCUCCCAGAGACUGAACCACCAACUGGGGAGCAUGCAUGGGACUGACUAAGGCCCUCUACACCUAUGUAACAGUUGUGCAGCUUGGGCUUCAUGUGGAACUCCUAACAGGGGAAGCAGAGGCUGUCUAUGACUCCUUCGGCUACCUGUAAAGUAAAAUAAAUUAAUAAAAGAUUGUUUGAGAACUUC